AUUUGUCAUAUAAAAUAAAUAUGAUAUAGAUGAAAUGAACACUGCAGAUACACAGAAUUAGUGGUUUUAUGAUUAAACAUUGCCAAGAUAUAGACAAAGUGAACACUGCAUAUAGACACAAAAUUAGUGGUUUUAUGAUUAAACAUUGCAAGAUAUAGACGAAGUGAACACUGCAUAUAGACACAAAAAUAGUGGUCUUAUGAUUAAACAUUGUGAAGGCCACUGUUGUGGCAUGGCGAGGCACCAGUGAAGCGCCGCUUGCCUCCAUCCCGAGGUGGGCUACACUGAUCCACCCAGCACGCAGAUAGCCGCGCAGAUAUCUAAUCCAGGGUCUUCCCCACAGCACAACUCCACCAUGCUGACCAACUUUGCCUACACCAUGGAUCCGACCAACCACCACCUCAGCAUAGCCAUCCAGAAGAAUAUCCUGCCUCCAUUCCCACUCAGGUCCAUAGUCCUCUUCUUUUCGGGACUGUUACAUGGAAUACAAAUGCCAAUUUAUUUGCUGGUGGUAAUUGCAUUUUCCAUGCAUUUUAAGCGUUCUUCACUCAGGUGCUUGCUAAUUUGUGAAUAAAUGCAUCUAUGUUCACACAGUCUGAUUUUAGAUUACACUGAAAUUGUAAAACAAUGAAUAGCUCAUUAUGUUAUAUUGGAAUAAAAAAUAGAAAGGAAACCGGGGAAUGGGUAAUCAUAUAUUGGUUUGUCUCAAAAGAGGGGAAUUGCUUGGUCGGCAAAUAUAUCUAUCUGCACAUUCUACAUAGUAUAGAUACUACAGAUACGUGUUCGAUGGAAGAUGGUUUCAGGGUCUUAUUAUGACAGCAAAAAAAGUAAACAAACUGAUUAUUUGUAUAUUCAGGGUAGAAUUAAGCUCACAAAAUAACAUUAUGCCAAAUGAUAAGCAUGUAUGAGGAAAACUAAAUGUUCAAUAAAGAUUUAUCUAGGACAUAUGGUGUAGUGAAUUUUCCUGGAAGAACAUAUUUCGCAACAAUUUGCAUAAACCCAAAUGCAGGCCGCAAAAUUUGUUCAUCGAGGGGUUAUCAAGAUUCACAAUAUAGCUAAGAUAAUCUGUGCAUCACUGAUUUAUGAGGAUAAGAAAUAUGUCCGGCCCUAUAGAAACACCAUUCAUCUUAGUAACCUUAAUUAUCAUAGCAGACACAUUUGGUUGAGAGCACAAAAAUUAUAAACCAUUAUCCAGUCAUACUAACACCAAAACCAUGAUGAACUUUAAAGAAGAUCAGUUUUUCCAUUCGGAAGAAAAGGCAUCAAAGAGGAAAAUGGGGAAGAACUCACGUGAGCAAAGUCAACAGAAUAAUGCGUAGAUCCUGCUUAUGCUCAGCGCAAUCAAGGUUACAAAAUUGUUAACAAAAUUCCAAACUGAAGAAACGGCAGCGUUCCAGCGAGAUCCUCUUCCAUGGUAGUCAUGUGCCAACACGUGUUGAACAGCUCUGUUGCACUGCGCUCGGUCACGCUGGUGAACUCCAGGCCAAUUAUUCCAGUGUCACAUCACAUGAUAUAUCCAUGCAAGACUCUUCUGACCGUGGUAAGUGUGAGCUGCAUUCGUAUAGAAGUAUCCAUAUAUACAUGUGCAUAAUCCAGUGCUAGGAAUAUGUCUGCCCUUACAGAAACACCAUUCAUCUUAGCAAGCAUCUCACUCCUAAUUAAAUAAGCUAUACGGCUAGAGCAACCAUCUACUUGCAAUUUCCAAGCCACUCUUCAUAAAUACUACACCCCAUGGUAUAUGGCCAUGUCAAAAAGUGAAAUCAGAUGAAACUCAACAAUCAUAUGGUACAUGUCCAUGUCAAAAAGUGAUACCAGAUAAAACUCACCUACAUAUGAAAAAAUAAGCAUCAAAAUAUAAGAAAAAUGAAGUACCAGUGACAAUGAGAAUAGGGACUUAUCCAUACCACCAUCUUUGUCAAUAAGAACUUUUCUUUCCCUAAACUUCCUGAACCUUUAGCUUGUGUGGCUGCGAUAUUCUUGAAAUGCCAAAUUGUAUGAGAACAAUCACGAUUAUUUAUGUAAAAAGGAGAUAUCUGUAUAUUCUAAUCUGGAAGUGUUAUAUAUGAUAAUAGUGUAACAAAUACGCAUGUACAUGUACACCUAGUAAGUUUACGGUUUACAGGACACACAUCGACCAAAUAUACAGCAAAAGUUCACUUCUGAAUUUAGGCAAGCAACAUAAAGAACUCAUAUUAAGAUACAACCAACAAUCUGUGCACAUACAAGAAACAUAUGCAUGUCAAUUCCAGAUAUUUGAAUGAACCUAAGUAAAAUAUUACAUGACCUUUGAAUUUAUACUAUACAAUGCUUAGGCUGUAGCAUUACCUGUUCCAUUUCUGUCAAAAGAACAAUCUGAACUCGGCCUGCAGCUUUACACCAAAAAUAAGACCAAUAACUUGUAGGCAUCACACAAUGAACUUCGUAGCUACAACAGGAGGUUUGUGACCAAAUUAUGCACUUAAAUGAGCAGAAGCACACACAAAAAUUAAUUUGUGGUCAAUAUUCAACCUGGUAGCAGAUAUAUCAUCAAAAUUCUCAGGUAUAUCAUUACAGUACUUAAUCCCCAUCGACAAUAUAUCAAUUAGAUUUAUAUCUUCGAACCUGCAACAAAUCUAGAAAUUAAAGAACAUUGUUCAAAGAAGAUUUUAUAUAAGACAUGAAGAAUGUAAUAUUCUAACUAUAAAUACUCUCUGGCACACCAAAUAAGAUAGCCUUAUGCAGAACAUAUGAACGUGAUAGUAGUGUUCAAGAGAGAGGGAGAGAUCACUUUGUUCAAACUUUUCAUCAAGAUUCACCCUCUUCUCUUUUUCCUCAGGUCUGCAUAUGUGUGUUUAAAAAACCAUAAAUCAAGGAGGCUGCAUAUUGGCAACCUAGAUUGGGGACAGGUACCAUGGCCAGCACCGUCUGGAACUCCAGCCUCGCUGUUCCUUCCCUCACUGCCAUUCUCCUCAUCCUCCACACCCACCAAGAAGAUCAUGCCGCCCUGCUCGCCUAGAUCCAGAAGCACGGCACGCGGCAGCAGCAGAUAGAAGAUCAGUCGCAUGGGUGAGAAAGAACAGAGAUUGUGCCAAAUCCAAGCCGUCCACGGUAGCAGCACCGGCGCAAGAACGGCAGCGACGCGGGCGCAACAGGCGGCAAGUUCUCAACAAAGAAGAGCACAACC
This 3163-nucleotide long non-coding RNA is filed under the name Triticum aestivum (bread wheat). Its description in RNAcentral is "long non-coding RNA (TAES_LNC014535)". Lineage: Eukaryota; Viridiplantae; Streptophyta; Magnoliopsida; Poales; Poaceae. The record is from RNAcentral.